Drosophila grimshawi is the source of this 1283-nucleotide long non-coding RNA. RefSeq lists it as uncharacterized. Lineage: Eukaryota; Metazoa; Arthropoda; Insecta; Diptera; Drosophilidae. The record is from RefSeq and is a predicted model, not a curated record. The transcript has 2 exons.
UGCUGAUAACUUUUCCAAGCUUAAGAAUGAUGACACAUUUGAUAAACAUUUAGUGGAAAAUUUAUGGAGCGUGACAAAGCCAUUGUAGCGGCGAUAAACGUUUACCAGCAAUGCGUCACGUAUGCAGCACAACAGCACUUUAUUCGCUCGCACUUUCGAGACACUUCCAUAGCACAUAAGGGAGACAAAUGUAUUUCUCGAAGCAUCGAACAGGCCGCAUGGCCAGCGUAUAAAUAGAGGCCACAGCUCGCAAUGCAUUCAUUCGUAAAAUAAAAGUGUUCAAGUGAAGUUCUAUCGUGAAAUUAAAAAUUCGUUGGGAAAUAUAGUACAUAUUGUCCCAGAUAUUAGUGCUGCUGUACAUAUAUAUAUUUUUUAUAUCUUAGAUAUUGCCAUAUUGGCAAUGGAAAAGUGUAGAAUAGCUGUUGGAAUGUCGAAGCUGAGGAGUUACAUCAUGGCACGAAGACUAAAAUAAUUGCUAGUUUUGAGAGCAUUUUUUGCUUUGAACAAAGAAAAAGAAAACGCCCCGUCGUCGUCGUCAUCAUCAGCAUCAACGUGGGCACGUCAGGCAAAUUUCACAAAUGAGGAAAUGGCGAUCGAGUUGUGUUCCACCUUUGGCUAGAAAGUUGCUCUUUAGGCAGGCUGAAACUCAAACUGAAGCUGAAUCAGAUGCAGAUGCCAGAUUCCAUGGCGAGGCUUAAGGCUAAGGCAGGCGAGGAAUAGCGAACUCAAAGGUUGUCCAGGAUUUAAGGAGUUUGCAUAGCAAGCCAGGCUUGUUCUCUCUUAUACUUGGGCGUGAAAAGUUGAUACGCGAAUCGAUCGAUGGUUGAACUCGUGCCCUUUGCGGGUGAAUAUGGGCAAUUGCAAUAGCCGUUAAAUGCUGUUGGGCCCGAUUAGCCGAGUUUUAACUGAUCUGCGAUUGUGUCGCGGCCAACAAAGGGUUACUAUCUACUAUCGUUUCUAUCUGAAUGAUUGAUCGUGGAAUGAAUUAUAGGAACCUGUAUCGACUUCUCUGCUCUACUAAGACUUGUUCAAAAAUGGCGCACAAAUUACAUAUCUAUACGGCCUUCUAUCGUGUUCACCUAUUAUCAUCGUACCGAUAUCAAUACCGAUCAGAAACAGAAAUAUAUCACAGUACUCUGACAUCGAUCGAUAAAUAAUCGUAUCUGGAUUAGCAAGUGAACGAGCCGAUUGCUAGUUCGCUGUACACCAAAAAUCUCCGUCAAAUAUACUUUUUUUUCUUGUUAUAUAUUCUUUUUGUUGUAAACAUAAACUUAUUGAAAGUA